This is a long non-coding RNA of Gopherus evgoodei (Goodes thornscrub tortoise), 128 nucleotides long. RefSeq lists it as uncharacterized. NCBI's taxonomy places the organism in Eukaryota, Metazoa, Chordata, Testudines, Testudinidae. The transcript has 3 exons. The record is from RefSeq and is a predicted model, not a curated record.
UACACUAAUGCUAGGAGCCUACGUAACAAAAUGGAGGACCUAGCGUUACUGGUUCAGGAAGUGAAAUCGGAUAUUAUAGGGAUAACAGAAACAUGGCGGAAUAGUAGUCAUGACUGGAGUACAGGUAU